This 505-nucleotide ribosomal RNA is filed under the name uncultured bacterium. RNAcentral describes it as "partial 16S ribosomal RNA". It matches the Rfam family "Bacterial small subunit ribosomal RNA", at positions 29 to 523 of the family's 1533-position model. The record is from RNAcentral.
AGUGAACGCUGGCGGUAGGCCUAACACAUGCAAGUCGAACGGCAGCACAGGAGAGCUUGCUCUCUGGGUGGCGAGUGGCGGACGGGUGAGGAAUACAUCGGAAUCUACUCUGUCGUGGGGGAUAACGUAGGGAAACUUACGCUAAUACCGCAUACGACCUACGGGUGAAAGCAGGGAUCUUCGGACCUUGCGCGAAUGCAUGAGCUGAUGUCGGAUUAGCUAGUUUGCGGGGUAAAGGCCCACCAAGGCGACGAUCCGUAGCUGGUCUGAGAGGAUGAUCAGCCACACUGGAACUGAGAUACGGUCCAGACUCCUAUGGGAGGCAGCAGUGGGGAAUAUUGGACAAUGGGCGCAAGCCUGAUCCAGCCAUACCGCGUGGGUGAAGAAGGCCUUCGGGUUGUAAAGCCCUUUUGUUGGGAAAGAAAUCCAGCUGGCUAAUACCCGGUUGGGAUGACGGUACCCAAAGAAUAAGCACCGGCUAACUUCGUGCCAGCAGCCGCCGUAA